RNAcentral lists this ribosomal RNA (433 nucleotides) under uncultured bacterium. RNAcentral's name for it is "partial 16S ribosomal RNA". It matches the Rfam family "Bacterial small subunit ribosomal RNA", at positions 29 to 507 of the family's 1533-position model. The record is from RNAcentral.
AACGAACGCUGGCGGCAUGCCUAACACAUGCAAGUCGAACGAGACCCUCGGGUCCUUUGGCGCACGGGUGCGUAACGCAUGGGAACCUUCCCUUAUGUUCGGACUAACUCCCCGAAAGGGAUGCUAAUACCGGAUAAUGUCUUCUGCCCAAUGCCUUAUCGCCUUUGGUUGGGCCCGCGUUGGAUUAGCUAGUUGGUAGGGUAAAAGCGUAGCAAGGCGGCGUGCCAGGGCUGUUCCGGGAAGAGGAUAAGCCACGCUGGAACUGAGGCACGGCCCAGACUCGUACGGAGGGGAGCAGUAGGGAAUAUUAGGCGAGGGACGCUAGUCUAGUCAAGCAGUGCGGGGUGAGUGGUGAAGGGCGUAGGAUUGUAAUGCUCGUUUAGACGAGGUGAUAGUGACAGUACCGGGAGAAUAAGCUCCGGCUAACUACGUG